This 505-nucleotide ribosomal RNA is filed under the name uncultured Pseudomonadota bacterium. Its description in RNAcentral is "bacterial SSU rRNA". It matches the Rfam family "Bacterial small subunit ribosomal RNA", at positions 401 to 896 of the family's 1533-position model. Lineage: Bacteria; Pseudomonadati; Pseudomonadota. The record is from RNAcentral.
GUGUGUGAAGAAGGCCUUCGGGUUGUAAAGCACUUUUAUCAGGAACGAAAAGCGGAGGGCUAAUACCCAUCCGUGCUGACGGUACCUGAGGAAUAAGCACCGGCUAACUUCGUGCCAGCAGCCGCGGUAAUACGAAGGGUGCAAGCGUUAAUCGGAAUUACUGGGCGUAAAGCGUGCGUAGAUGGCCUGUUAAGUCGGAUGUGAAAGCCCCGGGCUCAACCUGGGAACGGCAUCCGAUACUGGUGGGCUAGAGUGCGGUAGAGGAGAGCGGAAUUCCCGGUGUAGCGGUGAAAUGCGUAGAGAUCGGGAGGAACAUCCGUGGCGAAGGCGGCUCUCUGGACCAGCACUGACGUUGAGGCACGAAAGCGUGGGGAGCAAACAGGAUUAGAUACCCUGGUAGUCCACGCCCUAAACGAUGUCGACUGGAUGUUGGGCACACUUUGGUGCUCAGUAUCGAAGCUAACGCGUUAAGUCGACCGCCGUGGGGAGUAUGCGCGCAAGCGUG